Molecule: transfer RNA, 72 nt
Filed under: Gracilariopsis chorda
Lineage: Eukaryota; Rhodophyta; Florideophyceae; Gracilariales; Gracilariaceae
Description: Gracilaria chorda tRNA
Rfam family: tRNA
About the family: Transfer RNA (tRNA) molecules are approximately 80 nucleotides in length. Their secondary structure includes four short double-helical elements and three loops (D, anti-codon, and T loops).
Source: Rfam by way of RNAcentral
GCGUCUAUGGUCUAGAGGUAAGAUUCUUGCUUUGGGUGCAAGAGGUCCCGGGUUCGAACCCCGGUAGACGCC